UGGACAGUUUUCCUAGCCCGGUUAAGGAGAUUUACUGUAAAUAAAUUGAUUUUAUAUCAUCGUGUGUUCGAAUCACACCUGUCCAA
This is a non-coding RNA of Microbotryomycetes sp. JL201, 86 nucleotides long. The record is from the annotation of a GenBank genome assembly. NCBI's taxonomy places the organism in Eukaryota, Fungi, Basidiomycota, Microbotryomycetes.